Molecule: transfer RNA, 68 nt
Filed under: Thalassiosira minuscula
Lineage: Eukaryota; Bacillariophyta; Thalassiosirophyceae; Thalassiosirales; Thalassiosiraceae
Source: RNAcentral
CUUUCAUAUUACCAAACGCAGCACUCUAGGAUCUCAUAACCAUAAGAAAAGUCGAGCUUUUUCUCGAA